GGUUGGUGAUGGGCUGGUCUAAGGUCUGGCCCCUGCACCUGCCCCUGCCCCCAGCCAUCCCAGCCACCUCCUCCAUCUGGCUCCAGUAGUGCUCGUGAUGGGAAAAGGCCGUGCUGGCGCCAGGAUGUCCCCAUUCUGUGUCCGUCACAGGGUGUGAGCGUGGGGAGCGCUGGAGUCUGAGGUUACGAUCUGAUGUUUUCACACUGAGACU
This 211-nucleotide small nucleolar RNA is filed under the name Tupaia belangeri (northern tree shrew). RNAcentral describes it as "Small Cajal body specific RNA 6 (ENSTBEG00000020994.1)". The record is from RNAcentral. Lineage: Eukaryota; Metazoa; Chordata; Mammalia; Scandentia; Tupaiidae.